AUUUAAAAUUUAAUCAUUUAUUUUGAGAGUAAGAACUUUUUGUUCAUUAGCAAAACACAUGACUAAGUUUGUCAUGAGUUAACAUCCAAAAUCCUCAACUGCGACAUAUUUUCACAUAAUUACAGGAGAAAUUAGCAAAUCAGUAAUUAUCACUCUGAACUUAAACAGUAUAUAGCUCAUCAGCAACUUACCUCAACAUCUGCAGGUCAAGAGUCAUUGUAGAAUAAUGCCUGCAUCUUACACAGAUUUUAUAUGAAAGUAUAUCCAUUCCUUACAACAACAUUCACAUCUAAAUUUCAUAGAAUUGUAGAAUGGUUUGGGUUGAAAGGGACCUUUAAGAUCAUCUAGUUCCAAACCCCUCUUCUAUAGGCAGGGACACUUUCCUCUAGACCAUGUUGCUCAAAACCCCAUUCAGCCUGGUCUUGAAUGCCUCCAGGGAGGGGGCAUCCACAGCCUAUCUGGGUAACCUGUUCCAGGGGCUCACCACCCUCAUAGUAAAUAAUUUCUUCCAAAUAUCUACCCUUGUUCGGUUUAAAGCCAUUUCCCCUUGUCCUGUUGCCACACGUCCUUAUAAAAUGUUCCUUACCAGCUUUCAUGUAGGCCCCCCCUUUCAGGUACCGGAAGAACACUAUAAGGUCUCCCCGGAGCCCUCUCUUCUCUAUGCUGAAGAGGACCAAUUUUCUCAUCUUGUCCACAUAGGGGAGGUGCCCAAGCCCUCUGAUCAUCUUCAUGGCCCUCUUCUGGGCUCACUCCGAUAGCACAAGUAGAGGGACAGAAUCACCUCCCUUGAUCUGCUGGUCAUGCUUCUCUUGUUGCAGGCCUGGAUAUGGUUGCCCUUCUGGGCUGCAAGCGCACACUGCCAUCUCAUGUUAAGUCUUCCAUCAACCAACAUCUCCAGUCUUUCUCCUCAGGCUUGCUCUGAAGCCAUUCUCCACCCAGCCUGUAUCUGUGCUUGGGAUUGCCCUGACCCAGGUGCAGGACCUUGUAUUCAGCUUUGUUGAUCUUCAUGAGGCUGGCAUGGGCCUACCUCUCAGGCCUGUCCAGGUCCCUCUGGAUGAUGUCUUUUCGAUCUAGUGUGUGAGCUGCACCACUCAGCUUGGUGUCAUCUGCAAACUUUCUGAGGUUGCACUCAAUCCCACUGUCCAUGACACCUACAAAGGUGUUAAAUAACAUCGGUCCCAGCACUGACCCCUGAGGAA
Long non-coding RNA from Gallus gallus (chicken), 1199 nucleotides. The record is from Ensembl. Lineage: Eukaryota; Metazoa; Chordata; Aves; Galliformes; Phasianidae.